Molecule: transfer RNA, 73 nt
Filed under: Anas platyrhynchos (mallard)
Lineage: Eukaryota; Metazoa; Chordata; Aves; Anseriformes; Anatidae
Rfam family: tRNA
About the family: Transfer RNA (tRNA) molecules are approximately 80 nucleotides in length. Their secondary structure includes four short double-helical elements and three loops (D, anti-codon, and T loops).
Source: Rfam by way of RNAcentral
GCCCGGCUACCUCAGUCGGUAGAGCAUGGGGCUCUUAAUCCCAGGGUCAUGGGUUCGAGCCCCACGUUGGGCG